Molecule: transfer RNA, 72 nt
Filed under: Candidatus Moraniibacteriota bacterium
Lineage: Bacteria; Candidatus Moraniibacteriota
Description: Candidatus Moranbacteria bacterium tRNA-Gln
Rfam family: tRNA
About the family: Transfer RNA (tRNA) molecules are approximately 80 nucleotides in length. Their secondary structure includes four short double-helical elements and three loops (D, anti-codon, and T loops).
Source: RNAcentral
UGGGGAGUAGCCAAGCGGUAAGGCAACGGGUUCUGGCCCCGUCAUGCGAAGGUUCGAUCCCUUCCUCCCCAG